ACGGCGAGUGAAGCGGGAAGAGCUCAAAUUUGAAAUCUGGUAGCCUUCGGUUGCCCGAGUUGUAAUCUAGAGAAGUGUUUUCCGCGUUGGCCCAUGUACAAGUCCCUUGGAACAGGGCGUCAUAGAGGGUGAGAAUCCCGUCCUUGACAUGGACCCCCAAUGCUUUGUGAUACACUUUCAACGAGUCGAGUUGUUUGGGAAUGCAGCUCAAAAUGGGUGGUGAAUUCCAUCUAAAGCUAAAUAUUGGCGAGAGACCGAUAGCGAACAAGUACCGUGAGGGAAAGAUGAAAAGCACUUUGGAAAGAGAGUUAAACAGUACGUGAAAUUGUUGAAAGGGAAACGAUUGAAGUCAGUCAUGCUCUUUGGAUUAAGCCGUUCUGCGGUGUAUUUCAUUGAGCGGGGUCAACAUCAGUUUUGAUCGCUGGAAAAGGGCAGGAGGAAGGUAGCACUCUCGGGUGAACUUAUAGCCUCUUGUCGUAUACAGUGAUUGGGACUGAGGAACGCAGCAUGCCUUUUGGCCGGGAUUCGUCCACGUACAUGCUUAGGAUGU
This 550-nucleotide ribosomal RNA is filed under the name Naganishia globosa. RNAcentral's name for it is "eukaryotic LSU rRNA". It matches the Rfam family "Eukaryotic large subunit ribosomal RNA", at positions 86 to 626 of the family's 3401-position model. The record is from RNAcentral. Lineage: Eukaryota; Fungi; Basidiomycota; Tremellomycetes; Filobasidiales; Filobasidiaceae.